RNAcentral lists this ribosomal RNA (439 nucleotides) under Bergeyella sp. oral taxon 422. RNAcentral's name for it is "bacterial SSU rRNA". It matches the Rfam family "Bacterial small subunit ribosomal RNA", at positions 28 to 470 of the family's 1533-position model. Lineage: Bacteria; Pseudomonadati; Bacteroidota; Flavobacteriia; Flavobacteriales; Weeksellaceae. The record is from RNAcentral.
GAUGAACGCUAGCGGGAGGCCUAACACAUGCAAGCCGAGCGGUAUUGUUUCUUCGGAAAUGAGAGAGCGGCGUACGGGUGCGGAACACGUGUGCAACCUGCCUUUAUCUGGGGGAUAGCCUUUCGAAAGGAAGAUUAAUACUCCAUAACAUAUUGAACGGCAUCGUUUGAUAUUGAAAGCUCCGGCGGAUAGAGAUGGGCACGCGCAAGAUUAGCUAGUUGGUGAGGUAACGGCUCACCAAGGCGAUGAUCUUUAGGGGGCCUGAGAGGGUGAUCCCCCACACUGGUACUGAGACACGGACCAGACUCCUACGGGAGGCAGCAGUGAGGAAUAUUGGUCAAUGGGUGCAAGCCUGAACCAGCCAUCCCGCGUGAAGGACGACUGCCCUAUGGGUUGUAAACUUCUUUUGUAUAGGGAUAAACCUACCCUCGUGAGGGUA